This 2982-nucleotide ribosomal RNA is filed under the name Planctomycetota bacterium. Its description in RNAcentral is "Planctomycetes bacterium (hot springs metagenome) 23S ribosomal RNA". It matches the Rfam family "Bacterial large subunit ribosomal RNA". Lineage: Bacteria; Pseudomonadati; Planctomycetota. The record is from RNAcentral.
AUGUGGCCAAGCUACUAAGGGCGUAUGGGGGAUGCCUCGGCGCCAGGAGGCGAUGAAGGGCGUGGCAGUCUGCGAUAAGCCCGGGGGAGCUGACAAGCAAGCUUUGAUCCCGGGAUCCCCGAAUGAGCCACGUGCUGAAUCCAUAGGCGCGUGGCGGCGAACCCGGCGAACUGAAACAUCUCAGUAGCCGGAGGAAAAGAAAGAAAACUCGAUUCCCUCAGUAGCGGCGAGCGAAAGGGGAACAGCCCAAACCGUGGGGCUAUGCCCCGCGGGGUUGUAGGGCCCUCCAUAUGGGAGUUACAAAGCGGGCGCUAGCGGAAGUGUCUGGAAAGGCACACCACAGAGGGUGACAGUCCCGUACGCGAAAGCGUGCCGUCUCCCGGAGGGUACCUGAGUAGGUCGGGGCACGUGGAACCCCGACUGAAGCUACGGGGACCAUCCCGUAAGGCUAAAUACUCCCUGGCGACCGAUAGUGAACCAGUAGGGUGACCGAAAGGUGGAAAGAACCCCGGAAGGGGAGGCAUUGAACCUGAAACCAUACGCCUACAAGCGGUCGGAGCGCUAUGGCCUGCGGCAGGCACGGGCGGUCUUCGGAUCGUACCGGCUUGCCGGGUAAGGCAAGGCGUGACGGCGUACCUUUUGCAUAAUGGUCCGGCGAGUUACUGUCGGCGGCGUGGUUAAGGCCUUCAGGGCCGGAGCCGGAGGGAAACCGAGUCCGAAUAGGGCGCUAAGUCGCCGGCAGUAGACGCGAACCUGCGUGAUCUACCCAUGGGCAGGGUGAAGCGCGAGUGAUAUCGCGUGGAGGCCCGAACCCACUAGGGUUGAAAACCUAGGGGAUGACCUGUGGGGAGGAGUGAAAGUCUAAUCAAACGCAGAGAUAGCUCGUUCUCCCCGAAAUAGCUCGAGGGCUAGCCUCGGGUCACUACGCACCGGGGGUAGAGCUACUGAUUUGGCAUGGGGGCCUUCGCCGGCUACCCAGCUGAACCAAACUCCGAAUACCGGUGCGACUAUCCCGGGAGUCAGUCCCUGGGGGAUAAGCUCCAGGGUCGAGAGGGAAACAACCCAGACCGCCUGCUAAGGUCCCCAAGCACGGCUAAGUCACAAAGGAGGUGGGGCUGCGGAGACAGCCAGGAUGUUGGCUUAGAAGCAGCCACCAUUUAAAAAGUGCGUAACAGCUUACUGGCCGAGCAGCCCUGCGCCGAAAAUGAACGGGAGUAAGCCGUGCACCGAAGCAGCGGGUGGUAAGUUGGGAGCCCCCAACUUGCCGCGGUAGGGGAGCGCUGUAGGCCAGAUACGAGCCGGACCGCGAGGACCGGUGGAGGGGCCUACAGGUGAGAAUGCCGGAAUGAGUAACGAUAAAGCAGGUGAGAAUCCUGCUCGCCGAAAGCCUAAGGUUUCCUGGGGAAGGUAAUUCCGCCCAGGGUUAGCCGGUCCCUAAGACGAGGCCGAAAGGCGUAGUCGAUGGACAGCAGGUCAACAUUCCUGCGCCACCCUGAUGGACCGAUGGAGGGACGGCGCGUGCUAGGGUGAGCGGACGGCUAGAAGGGUCCGUGGACCGCUCGCAAGGCUGGGGACAGGCAAAUCCGCCCCACAAAAGCCAAGCGGCGGGACCUACCGCAUUUAGUCGGGAAGUCAUCCGAAGCGCGUCCAAGAAAAGCUCCUAAGGGUUGAAGUCAGGGUGACCGUACUAAAACCGACACAGGUAGGCGAGGCGAGAAGCCUAAGGCGCUCGGGAGAACACUGGUGAAGGAACUCUGCAAAAUGGCCCCGUAACUUCGGGACAAGGGGUGCCCUCGGGGGUCCAAAGCUCCUGGGGGCCGCAGUGAAUCGGCUCCUGCGACUGUUUAUCAAAAACACAGGUCUCUGCUAACUCGCAAGAGGAUGUAUAGAGACUGACGCCUGCCCGGUGCCGGUAGGUUAAGGAAGCCGGUUAGCGGGGAAACCCGCGAAGCUGGCAACCUAAGCCCCGGUAAACGGCGGCCGUAACUAUGACGGUCCUAAGGUAGCGAAGUUCCUUGUCGGGUAAGUUCCGACCUGCAUGAAAGGCGUAACGACAGGAGCGCUGUCUCCACCAGUGGCCCGGUGAAAUUGUAGCCGUGGUGAAGAUGCCACGUACCCGCAGCGUGACGGAAAGACCCCGUGAACCUUUACUGUAGGCUGGUAUUGGGCUGAGGCUUGUCCUGUGUAGGAUAGGUGGGAGGCUGUGAAGCGGGGACGCCAGUUCCCGUGGAGCCGUCGGUGAAAUACCACCCUGGGCUAGCUUUAGUUCUAACGCUGAACCCGCCAACCGGGCAGCGGACAGUGCCAGCUGGGCAGUUUAACUGGGGCGGUUUCCUCCUAAAAGGUAACGGAGGAGUCCAAAGGUACCCUCAGCCCGGUCGGCAAUCGGGCGUUGAGCGCAAAGGCAGACAGGGUGCUUGACUGCGAGACCGAUAGGUCGAGCAGGUGCGAAAGCAGGGCUUAGUGAUCCGGUGGUCCCGGAUGGAAGGGCCAUCGCUCAACAGAUAAAAGGUACUCCGGGGAUAACAGGCUAAUCUCCCCCGAGCGUCCAUAGCGGCGGGGAGGUUUGGCACCUCGAUGUCGGCUCAUCGCAUCCUGGGGGUGAAGAAGCUCCCAAGGGUUCGGCUGUUCGCCGAUGAAAGCGGUACGUGAGCUGGGUUCAGACCGUCGUGAGACAGGUCGGUCCCUAUCUGCUGUGGGCGCACGAGACCUGAGGAGGGUCCUCCUUAGUACGAAAGGACUUGGAGGGACGUCCCUCUGGUGUUCCAGCUGUCGCGCUAGCGGCACGGCUGGGUAGCUAUGGACGGAAAGGAUAAACGCUGAAAGCAUCUAAGCGUGAAGCCCUCUCCAAGAUGAGGUCUCGUAAGUGGCCUCGUGCCACGAGAGCCCCCUGGAAGACUACCAGGUUGAUAGGCCGGGUGUGUAAGCGCAGCAAUGCGCUUAGCUAACCGGUACUAACGGGCGAAUGCUUGGCCACAUGAC